Molecule: long non-coding RNA, 629 nt
Organism: Sorghum bicolor (sorghum)
Lineage: Eukaryota; Viridiplantae; Streptophyta; Magnoliopsida; Poales; Poaceae
Exons: 3
Source: RefSeq, a predicted model, not a curated record
ACUAGGAGGCCAAGCUCUAGGAAGGCUAUUUUGUGAAGUUGUUGUGAAGGUUGUGAUCAAAAGGGAUACAAUGCUACCUCGCCCUUAUGGUGACAUUGAGACUUUGGCUGAUGCUAAGUCAAUGCCAGUUCAGUGGCCAUACAACAGGUUGAAGGUUAGCAUGACAUCACAUUCAUCCCAGUCUACAGGAGGGGAUGUCCAGAAAACGCACUGAAGCAGAUGGAGAUGUGACCUGAUCAUUUUGUGGUGACCUGAUCAUUUUGUGAGGUGGCAAAACAUCGAUGAUCCAUGUUGGUGUGUAUGGGAUGCCAUACCAUUUUGUAAAGUACUGCUUGCUCAUGGAUGUUGGUUCCUUUGUUGAAUGAUGUUAGAUUAUGAAAAGAACUCCAAGGACAUGCCUGUUAGUUGUGUUCUCACAUGAGCAUGUUAGUUGUAGUAUGCAAUGCAGACUUGUUAGUUGUGCUGUAACAUGGGCAUGUUAGUUGUGGUGUGUGCAAGGCAAACUUAUGUCAUUGUUGCGAACAUCAUUGUACCCAUGGCUGUUAAAUGUGCCAUUUGUUUGGCAUGAAUGAAAUACUCCUAUGUUAUGACUUAUUCUAUGUCUGACAUUGAAUGUGAGCUUCUAUAUA